GACGAACGCUGGCGGCGUGCUUAACACAUGCAAGUCGAACGGAAAGGCCCUGCGUUUGUGGGGUGCUCGAGUGGCGAACGGGUGAGUAACACGUGAGUAAAAUGCCCUUGACUUUGGGAUAACUUUAGGAAACUGGGGCUAAUACCGGAUAGGAGCUCCUGCUGCAUGGUGGGGGUUGGGAAGUUACGGCGGUUGGGGAUGGACUCGCGGCUUACGAGCUUGUUGGUGGGGUAGUGGCUUACCAAGGCUUUGAAGGGUAGCCGGCCUGAGAGGGUGACCGGCCUCAUUGCGCCUGCGAUACGGCGCAGUCGCCUACGUGAGGCAGCAGUCGGGAAUAUUGCACAAUGGGCCCACGCCUGAUGCAGCAACGCCGCGUGCGGGAUGCCCGCCUUCUGGUUGUAAACCGCUUUCUCCUUUGACGAAGCCUGAGUGACGGUAAUUGGUAAAGAAGCACCGGCUAACUACGUG
RNAcentral lists this ribosomal RNA (468 nucleotides) under uncultured bacterium. Its description in RNAcentral is "partial 16S ribosomal RNA". It matches the Rfam family "Bacterial small subunit ribosomal RNA", at positions 28 to 507 of the family's 1533-position model. The record is from RNAcentral.